RNAcentral lists this RNase P RNA (426 nucleotides) under Prevotella sp. Its description in RNAcentral is "RNase P RNA component class A". It matches the Rfam family "Bacterial RNase P class A". Rfam says of the family: Ribonuclease P (RNase P) is a ubiquitous endoribonuclease, found in archaea, bacteria and eukarya as well as chloroplasts and mitochondria. The record is from RNAcentral. Lineage: Bacteria; Pseudomonadati; Bacteroidota; Bacteroidia; Bacteroidales; Prevotellaceae.
GCAGUGCCACGGUCUGCCGCCGGUGCCAACCUCCUCUUUUCGGAGAGGGUAGGGCACGGGAGGAAAGUCCGGGCAGCACAGGACGCUCCACUGGUGAAAAUGCCAGCAGUUGGCGACAGCUGGAUAUGGAAGAAGAGAACGACCGCUAAGUCUUCUGGCCAUCCUGAGAGGGAGGGUGCGGUAGUCUUAGUAAGGGUGAGAAGGUGGUGUAAGAGACCACCAGCCGGCGGGUGAUCGCCGGGCUGUUCCAUCUGGGGGCUGCAAGUUCGCGUAUACCAUCGUCUGAGGGCUGUCCGCCCGAUGCGUGAGCAGCGAUGGAGGGUAGAAUGCUUGAGCCGCAGGGUAACUUGCGGAGUAGAUAAAUGGCAGACGCUCCGCCUCGUUGGGGGUGGAGCACAGAACCCGGCUUACAGGGGCAGUGCUUUC